Long non-coding RNA from Thalassophryne amazonica, 130 nucleotides. RefSeq lists it as uncharacterized. The record is from RefSeq and is a predicted model, not a curated record. The transcript is spliced from 3 exons. NCBI's taxonomy places the organism in Eukaryota, Metazoa, Chordata, Actinopteri, Batrachoidiformes, Batrachoididae.
AUUGUGUCCAUGGACCAAGAAGGUUUUAGUACCACUUAAGGGCACUAAACAAUAUUUUCAAUCCAGUCUCAGUAUACCAUGGACUACACAAAAAUGUAUGGUGGCCAUCCCAGGUGUAUGGUUGGGACCA